Molecule: long non-coding RNA, 1451 nt
Organism: Solanum pennellii
Lineage: Eukaryota; Viridiplantae; Streptophyta; Magnoliopsida; Solanales; Solanaceae
Exons: 2
Source: RefSeq, a predicted model, not a curated record
UCUUCCCCACUGAACCCUCCUUUUUGGCCAUUUUCAUGCUUGACCAAUUUUUUUUUCUUCUCCACAAUUUACAAACACCUAUUUAGUAGAUCUUGGUGACUCGCUCGCAGGAGACGACUGAAUCGCAAUUGCGUGGGAGAGAGGCGGCAUUGGUGGUGCAUGCCACCAAUGUAUCGCAGUAAAGUGUGAGAGAGAGGCAACACUGACAAGUGGAGAGGAGAACGAGUUGGGUGAGGGUGCGGUCAUGGCGGUAAAAAGAUUUUUCGGUCAGAUCUGAUGGUGCGGUGGCUUAGGUUGUUGUUUUUGUGGGUGUUGGAGGAGGAAAGAUUAAAAGUAAUAGUGUGCGGCGGAGAUAAAGAUGGAUGAGGGAGAAUAUGUAUUUUGCAAACAAAAAUGGCGACAACAGCGGUGAUGACUUUGUCCGAUCGAUGAUCGUGAAACAGUGAAAAUAUGCAGAAUUGGAUGUAUGAAAUUUCACUUUAGAAAAUGUCAAACAUAUCACAGAAAUACGAGCACAAGUCAUCAAGCACAAGAAUAACAUAAGAUAUAAAGCAGACCCACAAAAUCAAAGAAAUCUCCCAACUGUUCAUACAAGAUGAAUAAUGAUUUAUCAACAAUUUAAGGGUUUAUCAACGGAACUCGUGAAAUUUGUAAAGAUCUAACCUACCUCAUACAAAAAUAAGCUCCAACUCGUCCAUCGAUGUUGCGGUCAACCACAUUCCUCUCCUUUUACACAUUCUUCCAUAAUUGAUUUCGAUCUCCCAAACAAUUGCUCUUUCUGGUGUUUCAAUAAAACUUGACCAGAAAAUUAUUAUCUUUGGUGAUCCGCGGUAUGCUCUGAUUGAAGCCUUUGAUUUGGAGUCUCAUCCGGAUGGAUCUAAUGUCUCACCUGCCACUGUCCUAACCACUACUUAGGUCAUAUUUGAAUCUACUCCAAAUAUGGCCUUCACGACUUGGAAAAAAAGGACAAAAUCCUUUCUCUUUGGCUUAAAACUACAUGAGUCAUUCUAUCUACCCUACAUAAUGCACAUAUGUACCACUCGUGAAGUUUGGUCAUAUCUUUUCAACCUCUUUCAAUCUCACUCAAGAGCCCAAGUCAAGAAACUUCACCACCAACUUCACACCACCGCAAAGGAUUCUUCCACCAUUAUAGACUUGAACUAUCUUUUAUAAAAAAAAAUAUGUGUAUUUUUUCAUGUUAUUUGCAUAACAGAAUGUUGUAAUAUGAUGAGGCAUAAGAAAAAUUGUGUUUAUAGUCUUAAAUACAUUAUAUUAUACACAAAGAAAUUAAUUUUAGUUUUGGUUACAUAUUCAGUUUGUAGGUGAUGAUUGAAAACUUAAGUGUCCUUUGAAUUUUACACUAAACUUGGAGCCUUUAUAAGAAGUGAUUUGUCUAUAUGUGUAAGUGUAUAAUGUCACAUGUGUAUUAAUGAUGAACUUACAUUAUUGUC